AGACACCAACUCUCAUAAUAAAUA
This 24-nucleotide non-coding RNA is filed under the name Arabidopsis thaliana (thale cress). The record is from RNAcentral. Lineage: Eukaryota; Viridiplantae; Streptophyta; Magnoliopsida; Brassicales; Brassicaceae.